This is a long non-coding RNA of Ictalurus punctatus (channel catfish), 1057 nucleotides long. NCBI's taxonomy places the organism in Eukaryota, Metazoa, Chordata, Actinopteri, Siluriformes, Ictaluridae. The record is from Ensembl.
UUGUCUAGUUACAGAAUAGUCCAAAAAACAAAAAAAUAAUCCAGUGAAAUGUCUGGGUUAUGCAUUUAACCCUGUUCCCUGAGAAGGGAACGAGAUGUCGCGUGAGCUUCACAAUGUGGGAAGUGCCCUCACCUGUGACCGGCAUCUGAAGCUUGUGUAACAUCAUGCUAUUUAUAGACAUGCCGUGAUCAGAUGACUUCGCAAUUAAGCACAUCGCGUGAUAUAAAAAUGGCACCUCUGAACCGCGCCGUCAGCGUCUAUUAUCUGAAGCGAAGACACAAUUCACAGGUAUGCCCCAGUAUGACAAAGCUACGCAAUGUCUUGUUUCCUUCUCAGGGAACAGGGUUAUGUAUGUAACCCAGACGUUCCUUUUCAAAGGGAACUCAACGUUGUGUGAGCUUCAUGCUGUGGGAACAAGAAUACCCAUUCCGUCAUACUUAGGGCAUGGCCUAUUCAAAAGAUCCGAACCUGAAGGUCAUUGCAAGAAACUCAGGCCGGGAUGGAAUGUAUAUCCAGGCUGUAAUAUCGAACGAAUGUGUGUGGCUUAGACCACCCUGCCACAGCACACACAUCCUGUAAAGGUAGCCCUUUGGACAAAGCAUUUGAGGAGGCGGCCCCCCCUAGUGGAAUAAGCGACCCCUAGAGAUUGCUUCCACUAUCCAUCUAUAGAUGCCCUGCUUCGACACAGCAUCACCUCUAUUGUCACCACCAAAGCAGACCAGCAGCAGUUCCAACUUAUGCCACUGUGGCCUUACAUGGCUUGGAAGGCAAAGCCACCCCACCAUAAAUUACCUGCCGUCAAUGGAGAGAGGUAGCAUGCAAGUGCCUCCUCCACUGUCAGCAUAUCUAAAUAGCUGUGCUGUUCACUCCCUAUGAUCGCCGAAUAAUUCGACGUUGUGGAGUUAUAAAUACGGCUAGUGUAUGGUUUUCCCCAGAAGCGUGAUAUUUCAUCAUGCACUUCUGGGGACAAAAGGGGAGUUUUCUGCAGUGUGAGGGAGAUUUAUUUUCACUGGGGAAAAAGCGCUUGUCCAGUCUGCUACGAGCCACUUCCUUUUCC